This is a long non-coding RNA of Solanum pennellii, 555 nucleotides long. RefSeq lists it as uncharacterized. NCBI's taxonomy places the organism in Eukaryota, Viridiplantae, Streptophyta, Magnoliopsida, Solanales, Solanaceae. The record is from RefSeq and is a predicted model, not a curated record. The transcript is spliced from 3 exons.
UGUAGAAGAAUCGAUUAGAAACCUUGCGGUGUUCUCGUCUCAGUGUCGCUGCCACAAAAAGUCUGUUGCAUUGUGAUGUGACUACUUAAAUUUUGUUCAAGAGCACGACCAAUAAAAUUGUACACUUUCUGCAACUGGAAUUUUUAAGGAUAUAUAUUCAAUGGAUUUGGGAGAUAAAAGUUGGAUGAAUCUCCGAAGAAACGGGCUUCCCAAGGAAAUGAAAUAUUGUGUCCUUGCUAGGAACUUUAUUGGAUAUACUUGGAAAGUCCAAAGAUCAUCUAAAUUCUCGCUAUGACUUGUACGAAAUGGGGAUACGUAAAGAGCUUCAACCUCUAAAAGAUUGUAAUACAGGAAAUAUCCAUCUAGGUAAAGUUUGUUUCUCUAUGACCCCAGAUGAGAAAAAGUUAUUUUGCACUGUUCUAAAAGAUGCCAAAUUACCAAAAGGGUGUGCUUCUAAUAUAUCAAGUCGUGUACAAAUUAAAGAGAUGGAAGUCUCUGGAUACAAAAGUCAUGAUGCUCAUUUCAUAAUGCAUUAUUUGAUCCAAGUUGCAGUCA